CCAGACUCCUACGGGAGGCAGCAGUGAGGAAUAUUGGUCAAUGGCCGCAGGGCUGAACCAGCCAAGUCGCGUGAGGGAUGACGGUCCUAUGGAUUGUAAACCUCUUUUGUCAGGGAGCAAAGGGCGCCACGUGUGGCGUUUUGCGAGUACCUGAAGAAAAAGCAUCGGCUAACUCCGUGCCAGCAGCCGCGGUAAUACGGAGGAUGCGAGCGUUAUCCGGAUUUAUUGGGUUUAAAGGGUGCGCAGGCGGAAUGUCAAGUCAGUGGUCAAAUUGAGGGGCUCAACCCCUUCCCGCCAUUGAAACUGGCGUUCUUGAGUGGAAGAGAAGUAUGCGGAAUGCGUGGUGUAGCGGUGAAAUGCAUAGAUAUCACGCAGAACCCCGAUUGCGAAGGCAGCAUGCCGGCUCCACACUGACGCUGAGGCACGAAAGCGUGGGUAUCGAACAGGAUUAGAUACCCGCGUA
Molecule: ribosomal RNA, 463 nt
Filed under: uncultured bacterium
Lineage: Bacteria
Description: bacterial SSU rRNA
Rfam family: Bacterial small subunit ribosomal RNA
Source: RNAcentral